GCAGUUGGCCGGUCUGUCGCGUGUACUUCGGUGCAGGAGGAAAGUCCGGGCAACACAGAGCAUCCUACUUCCUAACAGAAAGCUAUCCGUGAGGGUAGAGUAACGUAGAAGAAAAGAACCGCCCCUCCCUCCGGGGAGAGGUAAGGGUGAGAAGGUGGAGUAAGAGCCCACCAGCCGUAUGGUGACAUAUCGGGCUGUACGUCUUAGGAGUUGUAAGGUCAUGUAAACCGGCGCUAUGAGAGCUGCUCGCUCCAUGUCGGAGGGUAGACCGCUAAAGUGGUGUGGUGACACCCCACUCAGAUAAAUGACAGGCACCUUGAUUUAUUCAGGGUACAGAACUCGGCUUAUAGGCUGACUGCUUUU
Molecule: non-coding RNA, 363 nt
Organism: Bacteroides fragilis NCTC 9343
Lineage: Bacteria; Pseudomonadati; Bacteroidota; Bacteroidia; Bacteroidales; Bacteroidaceae
Rfam family: Bacterial RNase P class A
About the family: Ribonuclease P (RNase P) is a ubiquitous endoribonuclease, found in archaea, bacteria and eukarya as well as chloroplasts and mitochondria. Its best characterised activity is the generation of mature 5'-ends of tRNAs by cleaving the 5'-leader elements of precursor-tRNAs. Cellular RNase Ps are ribonucleoproteins.
Source: Rfam